This 301-nucleotide ribosomal RNA is filed under the name uncultured bacterium. Its description in RNAcentral is "partial 16S ribosomal RNA". It matches the Rfam family "Bacterial small subunit ribosomal RNA", at positions 509 to 807 of the family's 1533-position model. The record is from RNAcentral.
CAGCCGCCACGGGAAAACGAAGGGGGCUAGCGUUGUUCGGAAUUACUGGGCGUAAAGGGCGCGUAGGCGGCCAUUCAAGUUAGAUGUGAAAGCCCUGGGCUCAACCUAGGAAUUGCAUUUGAUACUGUUUGGCUUGAGUUCGGGAGAGGCGAGUGGAAUUCCGAGUGUAGAGGUGAAAUUCGUAGAUAUUCGGAAGAACACCAGUGGCGAAGGCGACUCGCUGGACAAGUAUUGACGCUGAGGUGCGAAAGCGUGGGGAGCAAACAGGAUUAGAUACCCCGGUAGUCCCUGUCUCUUAUAC